CUGGCGGCAGGCUUACACAUGCUUCUUCGAACGGCCUCUUUCCGGUGUGUGUCGCACACGGGUGAGUAACGCGUGAGACCGUGCCCUUCUAUGCGGAAUAUCCCCGGGAAAGUGGUGGUAAUACCGUAUACGCCCUCGGGUGUGAAAGUUUUAUCGCUUUAAGGGUGGGCCCUGCGUUGGAUUAGCUUGGUGGGGGGGUAAUGGCCUACCGGGGCACACAAAUCUAUAGCUGUCUCUGAGAGGAAGAUCAGCCACACUGGGACUGAGACACUGGCCCAGACUCCUACGGGAGGCAGCAGUGGGAAAUUUUGCACAAUGGGCGAAAGCCUGAUCCACCACCGUGCCGCGUGAGUGAAGAAGGCCCUAGGUUUGUAAAGCCCUUUCCUCAAGGGUGAACAUUGUGACGGUAACCAGAGAAGACAGCCCCGGGUAUUUUCGUGCCCGCCGCCGCGGUAAUACGGAGGGCGCUAGCGUUAUUCGGAAUUACUGGGCGUAAAGCGCGCGUAGGCGGCUUUGUAAGU
Molecule: ribosomal RNA, 521 nt
Filed under: Leptolyngbya valderiana BDU 100601
Lineage: Bacteria; Bacillati; Cyanobacteriota; Cyanophyceae; Leptolyngbyales; Leptolyngbyaceae
Description: bacterial SSU rRNA
Rfam family: Bacterial small subunit ribosomal RNA
Source: RNAcentral